GCUAUACAUGCAAGUCGAGCGGACAGAAGGGAGCUUGCUCCCGGAUGUUAGCGGCGGACGGGUGAGUAACACGUGGGUAACCUGCCUGUAAGACUGGGAUAACUCCGGGAAACCGGAGCUAAUACCGGAUAGUUCCUUGAACCGCAUGGUUCAAGGAUGAAAGACGGUUUCGGCUGUCACUUACAGAUGGACCCGCGGCGCAUUAGCUAGUUGGUGAGGUAACGGCUCACCAAGGCGACGAUGCGUAGCCGACCUGAGAGGGUGAUCGGCCACACUGGGACUGAGACACGGCCCAGACUCCUACGGGAGGCAGCAGUAGGGAAUCUUCCGCAAUGGACGAAAGUCUGACGGAGCAACGCCGCGUGAGUGAUGAAGGUUUUCGGAUCGUAAAGCUCUGUUGUUAGGGAAGAACAAGUGCAAGAGUAACUGCUUGCACCUUGACGGUACCUAACCAGAAAGCCACGGCUAACUACGUGCCAGCAGCCGCGGUAAUACGUAGGUGGCAAGCGUUGUCCGGAAUUAUUGGGCGUAAAGGGCUCGCAGGCGGUUUCUUAAGUCUGAUGUGAAAGCCCCCGGCUCAACCGGGGAGGGUCAUUGGAAACUGGGAAACUUGAGUGCAGAAGAGGAGAGUGGAAUUCCACGUGUAGCGGUGAAAUGCGUAGAGAUGUGGAGGAACACCAGUGGCGAAGGCGACUCUCUGGUCUGUAACUGACGCUGAGGAG
Molecule: ribosomal RNA, 722 nt
Filed under: Bacillus aerophilus
Lineage: Bacteria; Bacillati; Bacillota; Bacilli; Caryophanales; Bacillaceae
Description: bacterial SSU rRNA
Rfam family: Bacterial small subunit ribosomal RNA
Source: RNAcentral